This 410-nucleotide ribosomal RNA is filed under the name uncultured bacterium. RNAcentral's name for it is "bacterial SSU rRNA". It matches the Rfam family "Bacterial small subunit ribosomal RNA", at positions 355 to 775 of the family's 1533-position model. The record is from RNAcentral.
UCGAGGAUCUUUGGCAAUGGACGCAAGUCUGACCAAGCGACGCCGCGUGUGCGAUGAAGGCCUUCGGGUUGUAAAGCACUGUCGAGGGGGAGGAAGCCGCAAGGUUGACCUAUCCCUGGAGGAAGCACGGGCUAAGUUCGUGCCAGCAGCCGCGGUAAGACGAACCGUGCAAACGUUAUUCGGAAUCACUGGGCUUAAAGGGCGCGUAGGCGGGCAACCAAGUCCGGGGUGAAAUCCUCCAGCUCAACUGGAGAAGUGCCUUGGAUACUGGUGGCCUCGAGGAGGGUAGGGGCAUCUGGAACUAGCGGUGGAGCGGUGAAAUGCGUUGAUAUCGCUAGGAACUCCGGUGGCGAAGGCGAGGUGCUGGACCCUUUCUGACGCUGAGGCGCGAAAGCCAGGGGAGCGAACGG